This 600-nucleotide long non-coding RNA is filed under the name Homo sapiens (human). RNAcentral describes it as "HSALNT0242887". The record is from RNAcentral. Lineage: Eukaryota; Metazoa; Chordata; Mammalia; Primates; Hominidae.
CUUUAAUAAGCUAUCUUCACUACACUGCACUCUGCAACUUGCUGUAAAUUCUUUCUUGCAUGAGAUCCAAGAACCCACUCUUGGGGUCUGGGUCGAGACUCCUUUCUGGUAACAGAAGAUCUGAGUUGGGCCUGAGAGUUUGCAUGUCUAACAGGUUGUCUGGGGGACACACUUUGAGAACAGAAGCUGUAGCUACUCAUUAAACCACAAGAGAAGACAAGACACAUAUUGACAUGACCUGGAUGGAGGAAAAGCAGGGCCCACAUGUAAUUAGAAAGAGAAAGAGAGAUUUCAACCACCUGAAAACUGAACCUCACAAGAAAUAACUUGUCGAUUUUAAUCAAUUGAAGAACCUCUGAAGCAGGAGCUUAUUUGCUCUCCGGGCAGAAAAGAAGAGGAAAAAAAUAGAGGACAAAACAACUCAGCAACCCCAAGUGGUAUGCUUCACUACUCUGAACAAGGAUUCCCCAAAUUCCUUAGGGCAGGCAGCCUGCCCCAACUCCUGGUCUGGGAGUUCCAGCUCCAUCAACCCCAGUCCUAGGAUGCCAGGAGCAGAGAUGGACCACCUUUGCAGUUCUCCAAGACAGCACUUCUUGACUU